RNAcentral lists this ribosomal RNA (764 nucleotides) under uncultured bacterium. RNAcentral's name for it is "bacterial SSU rRNA". It matches the Rfam family "Bacterial small subunit ribosomal RNA", at positions 66 to 819 of the family's 1533-position model. The record is from RNAcentral.
ACGGUAACAGGGAUCAGCUUGCUGAUUCGCUGACGAGUGGCGGACGGGUGAGUAAUGUCUGGGAAACUGCCUGAUGGAGGGGGAUAACUACUGGAAACGGUAGCUAAUACCGCAUAACGUCGCAAGACCAAAGAGGGGGACCUUCGGGCCUCUUGCCAUCGGAUGUGCCCAGAUGGGAUUAGCUAGUAGGUGGGGUAACGGCUCACCUAGGCGACGAUCCCUAGCUGGUCUGAGAGGAUGACCAGCCACACUGGAACUGAGACACGGUCCAGACUCCUACGGGAGGCAGCAGUGGGGAAUAUUGCACAAUGGGCGCAAGCCUGAUGCAGCCAUGCCGCGUGUAUGAAGAAGGCCUUCGGGUUGUAAAGUACUUUCAGCGGGGAGGAAGGGAGUAAAGUUAAUACCUUUGCUCAUUGACGUUACCCGCAGAAGAAGCACCGGCUAACUCCGUGCCAGCAGCCGCGGUAAUACGGAGGGUGCAAGCGUUAAUCGGAAUUACUGGGCGUAAAGCGCACGCAGGCGGUUUGUUAAGUCAGAUGUGAAAUCCCCGGGCUCAACCUGGGAACUGCAUCUGAUACUGGCAAGCUUGAGUCUCGUAGAGGGGGGUAGAAUUCCAGGUGUAGCGGUGAAAUGCGUAGAGAUCUGGAGGAAUACCGGUGGCGAAGGCGGCCCCCUGGACGAAGACUGACGCUCAGGUGCGAAAGCGUGAGGAGCAAACAGGAUUAGAUACCCUGGUAGUCCACGCCGUANACGAUGUCGACUUG